RNAcentral lists this long non-coding RNA (1968 nucleotides) under Hordeum vulgare. Its description in RNAcentral is "long non-coding RNA (HVUL_LNC009146)". Lineage: Eukaryota; Viridiplantae; Streptophyta; Magnoliopsida; Poales; Poaceae. The record is from RNAcentral.
AAGUGAAUCCUCUGUAGAGUCAUUUCUUGAGGAGUCUUGCUGUGACUCGAGUGAAAAUAGGAUUCGAUGAAAUAAUGCAGGAAUGGGAGAAUCUGAAGCGUUCAGCAGGCAACAAACAAGCUUUUGGCGCUCUCUGAAGUACAAGUAGUCAGGCAGGGGUUCCUAAAUUUGGUACUGAAGAAACUCCAUCAGAUUUUCUUCUUGUAUUCAUAUGCAUGGCUUUUCUAGGAUAACGCAUCCUUUCCACUGAAGUUUCUUUCUUUGAGUCUAUUCAACGAAGCUCGUUGCUGACAGAGAAGUGCAUUAGCUAGACUACUUAAUUUCUUGUAGUGUUUUUGUGUAAAAUUUAAAUGCUGCAUAUGUUGUAGCUGGCAUUCAUGCUGAAUUAGAGUACAUUUCUAGCUGAUUUCAUUGCCUGCUUUCUUCUGCUGCUGCUGAGCUUAUUAUAAACGUCUUCUAAUUUACUUUAUUCAAGUAUUUAUCUGGUAGAGUUCUAGUUUAAAGACACUGGUAAAAGUACAGUAGUGUGAACGUGGCAACAGAGACAAAAAGAAGGAAGCGGAUAACACCCACUUUUAUGGUACUAUUUACAUUGAUAAAAAUAAGGUUCAGUCUGCAGAUGUCGUGAUAGACGAUGCAAAAGUAAACUGCAGCCUUCUGUCUUUCCUUCAUUUCUUCAUUGAUCAGAGUUGUCUUACAGCAAAUGCUCAUGCGUUCGUCCACUGCUCUGAAGCAAUGUAACCUGUAAAAAUAUCCCACCCUCAGAAGAUAAACAUGGGAAACUUUGAUUGUGAGGUCAAACCGGAGCAUGUAAAUUAACCCUUCUAACUAGCAAAAUUAUCACCUGUGCGCAAUCCAUUAACACAUUUUUCUGUAACAGCAACCCACUUCUUCAAACUGAUCAUGGAUUUCUGUUGCCGUAAAUUUAUCGCAGAUACUGUGGACGUUUGCUUCUUUUACCAUCUCACAGCAGGUUCUUCCUAGGCUUGGGUUAACUGGAUCCCGGCCUUUGUGGACAGCGUCUAUUACGCUGUAGUAGUGUUUCUCUGCUCUUGAAGAAGAGGAGGCAUGGCUGUAGAGAGUAGAGACUAGCGGGCAGAAUAUGUGUAACACUUGAGCACUUGUCAUCUUGUUGUGAAUGAUGCUCCUGUUAAUUUGUUUUGCAAACUUGCAUGUUAUUGCUGCUCGUUGUUCACUGAUUUGAAUAUUUGUAUUGGGUUCACGACAUCUCAUGUGUUGUGGCUGACUUUAGUGGCUGAGAUCAACAAUAUCUCACAUUUGUGAACACUGAACAAUAUUUACUACGAACAGGCUUAGACUAGGAUACACCUUGAUUCAAUUUUGCAUGUGCUAUUUGACCGGCUUUGUUGUUUAUGUGAUAUUUCAUUGACUGUGAAAGUUGCAGCACAUGGAUGGUUGGUGAACAGGCUACAUGAGGUUGAAAAGAAAUUAGAUGCUGCCACCUUGGUGGACAGUGACCGCCUCUGUUUAAAGCUGACCUGAUCCUUAAUAUUCUUGAAAUGUCACAAUCAAGGGUCGCCGUGAGACUCUAUGUUCAUUGAUGAGUCUCAAGCUCAGACAGAUAAACUAUUGUGUUGGGCAAGAUGCAUCUCUCAGCUUGUUGACUUUUAAUCUAUUUCAGGUAACAAAGUCCAAUUAGUAAUCCCUCUCUUCUGCACUAUAUCAUUUUUACAAGUCUCAGACCUGCAUGCAGACAACAAGUAUUACAACGUGGUUACCAGUGGAUUUGACAAAGACAACGGGAGUCUUGUUGUGACUCACGCAAAAAUAGUAAUCGAUGAAAUAAUGCAGUAAUGGGAGAACCUGAAGCGUUCAGCAGACAACAAACAAGCUUCUGGUGCUUUCUGAAGUACAAGUAGUUGGGCAAGGGUUCCUAAAUUUGGUACUGAAUAAACUCCCAUCAGAUUUUUCUUCUUGUAUUCAUCAUAUGCAUGUCUUUUCUAGGAU